ACAAAUGGAAAUGACUGCUUCGUAGCCAGUUCUCAUUAUAUUUCUCUCCCAGGAGAUGUGAAAUUAGCACUAGGAGAAAUUCAGCAGUGGUUGGGAGUGAAGCCCAAGUCUCUGGCUGCCCCCACCAGGAGAGGGGAGCAGGGAGUCAGUGGGGCUGGCAGGAUCCUGCCCUCUCCAACAUGUCUCAGAAAGGCACAGAAGAAGAAGAAGAGGAAACUACUUGAACAGUACAGAGUUCAUGCAUCAUGGAUCCCUCCAGAGAGGUGCUGGCCAUGGGUCACGCUGACUGUUCUUGGAUUCCUGUACUGCUAUUCUCAUGUUGGAAUUGAAUGGGAGGAGAAUUAUGCUGCACAUUAGGAAUGAUGCAAACAAUUAUUCUUAAGGCCACUUCAGUGAUGUCUCCACUGCCUUUCCCCAGCUUUUGGCAUCUUGUCUCAAGGCUACCCAUGGAUCCAACUGCUGACCCACACUUCACACACCACUGCUGGUGCCAUCUGUACAACCUUCACUCAGGUUGUUCUUCUCAAAGUUCCUCAGUUUGAUCAAGUCCUGCCAAACAUCACUUAGUAAAAAUAAGAGACCUACAAAGGAUAUGAAGAUGUCCUGCUUGUCUUGAACAGUUAUGCCAAUAACCACUGACACCGUGAACUGCAGGUUGGGUAUGAGGCUUUAAAAGCACAACAGCCAUUCAAAAUAAAAUAACACACUGCUUUUGGAGUACUUGGGGG
RNAcentral lists this long non-coding RNA (728 nucleotides) under Lonchura striata (white-rumped munia). Its description in RNAcentral is "domestica (Bengalese finch) lncRNA (ENSLSDG00000016800.1)". Lineage: Eukaryota; Metazoa; Chordata; Aves; Passeriformes; Estrildidae. The record is from RNAcentral.